AUCUUUACCUACGAUUACAGAUGUGGGCAUCUAUGCAUUUUUCAGUUGAAAUCUAAAGAAUUCGAUUGAUCUUCACUUUCGUGCAUCUUACACAAAUCAACCAAAGUACAUAAUUGUAGAACAAUGCUAUGCAUCAAGCAAAAUGAUAAAUGCUCUGCUUUUUUCCCCUUAAUUUUGAUUUGAGAUUGUUAUGAUUUGCAGAUGCAUGUUCACUAGUGACAUUUAUAUGUAAUUUAUUCUGCAAGUGAGUGCUGCCAUGUUAGAGUUGGUAUGAAUUAUUUGCUGUGCCCUGUAUUUUGUCUUUUUUAACUGAGACGUGCUCAAGUUAUAUGUGCAAUUAUUUAUUUUUUUAUUUAUUUUUUCUGCCCUUGAUGCUUAUUAUGUUGUUUCUUGACUUCAUUCGCUUGGCAUGGUGCAGGUUCGGACAUUUUGUCUUUUUUAACUGAGACGUGCUCAAGUUAUAUGUGCAAUUAUUUAUUUUUUUAUUUAUUUUUUCUGCCCUUGAUGCUUAUUAUGUUGUUUCUUGACUUCAUUCGCUUGGCAUGGUGCAGGUUCGGAC
RNAcentral lists this unclassified non-coding RNA (559 nucleotides) under Hevea brasiliensis (rubber tree). Lineage: Eukaryota; Viridiplantae; Streptophyta; Magnoliopsida; Malpighiales; Euphorbiaceae. The record is from RNAcentral.